Peromyscus maniculatus bairdii (prairie deer mouse) is the source of this 718-nucleotide non-coding RNA. The record is from RefSeq and is a predicted model, not a curated record. NCBI's taxonomy places the organism in Eukaryota, Metazoa, Chordata, Mammalia, Rodentia, Cricetidae.
GGGCCCCGGGCUGCGCGUUCCCCGCGCCCACGGGCGCGCGCGUGCCUGCGUGUCCGAGUCCCUUGGCCGCGGCCGCUGGCACGCUAGCCGAUUGCUUCCCUAGCGGUUUCCAAAGUGACUUCUGCGAGCCCCACAGCGCCGUCGCUGACGUGCAAGGCUGUGGGGACUUUAGGGCAGGAGUUCCUGUUCUGUCCCGAGGGUAGAUAGACAUGCCUUCCCAGGGAGCAAGGUCUCCCCAUGUGUCCUAGGCAACUUGGCCGUUUAGGAGCCCAGGGAACGGGUUGUGAAGUGCCACUCUUCAGAGGAUGCGCUUCUCGGUCCCUAGUUCUUUACUGAGUGCCAAGCACCGUGCUGGGGAUAGUGGAGAAGACCCUCGGAGGACCUUUGUUAAGGGCUCCUAUUGCCAGGCGGCCCCUUUUCUCUGGCUAUAGACUGAUGGCUGACGCAAUGCUAGAACAAGAGUGCUCCAGAGCAUGAUGACAGGUGCCUGCAGUCACACGACGGGCCUCUCGGCAGCAUCGCCAGGUUCCCCUGGAUGAUUUCCAGGGACUUCUACCUUAGAUCAUCUUGUGCUGCCUUCUGGGAAAGGGUCACUCCAGCCGUUUAGGAAAACCAGCUUUCCACUGCAGAACAUAAAGGCAAAUGAAGCCAGCCAAAGCAAUAAAAGAACACUUUAUAAUUCCAAAUCAUUAAAUUGAAAAAUAUUUCGAUGGUGCGA